UACUAAAAUUCUUCUCCUUCCCUUUCCCCAAAAUGUAGGUUCAAGACCCUCCAUCAGAUAUGCCAACUGUUGGCCCUUGGAGGAAGAUGCUAACUUCAAAAGAUACCAAUUUCAUUGGAUUUACUUUUAAGAAGUCAAACGUCAAAUCACUUGAGAGUACAGGUACGGAAAUUCAUUCGAACAUGUCAUGGAAAACACCGUCUCUAGUUUCCUUGUUGGGUCGAAUAGACUUGCAAGAAACUGUGAUACCAGAAGUUGAGCAAAAGCAGGAAGCAUAAGACUUUCCUUCUUCUGUGAGUAAAUUUUGCUGAAAAGAAAUUACACAAUAUAUAUGAGGUUUGCCCACAGUAGUUUGAUAUUAUAUGAAGAUUAUUAUCACUUUUAAGAUAAUGCUUCACUUCUGAAUACUGUUAUAUUUCAUUACAACUGUAAAGAAAAAUAAGCAUCUGAGUUCAAUAGGAUUAAUUUUUCUUCUUCA
Non-coding RNA from Cucurbita pepo subsp. pepo (vegetable marrow), 478 nucleotides. The record is from RefSeq and is a predicted model, not a curated record. Lineage: Eukaryota; Viridiplantae; Streptophyta; Magnoliopsida; Cucurbitales; Cucurbitaceae.